Molecule: unclassified non-coding RNA, 1661 nt
Filed under: Leishmania donovani
Lineage: Eukaryota; Euglenozoa; Kinetoplastea; Trypanosomatida; Trypanosomatidae
Description: gene:LdHU3.17.0570(CDS-product:cystathionine_beta -synthase)
Source: RNAcentral
UGCCUCUUUCCAUCACUGCCUGCGUGUCUGCCAAAUCGUUCGCCCCCCCCCCCUUUCUCCACAGUCGACAACAACAGCCAUCGCCUUCUAUCAUCCUCUUCUUUUUCUGGAAGCAUUUUUCUUGUCCCCUUUCCCACGCAUUCUCUCUUUCUCUCUCUGUUCCCCGCUGAUCAUAAUGACAUCUGCAACCCCCCGCGGCCAAAUUCUGGCCAACGCCCUCGAGGCGGUCGGCAACACCCCUUGCAUCCGCUUGAACCGCGUCCCACAGAAGCACGGCAUUCAGUGCGAGGUUGUGGCCAAGUGCGAGUUCUUCAACCCUGGCGGCAGCGUCAAGGACCGCAUUGGCAAGCAGAUGAUACUCGACGCCGAAAAGAACGGGACGCUCAAGCCGGGUUCCGUGAUUGUGGAGGCCACAAGCGGCAAUACUGGCAUCGGUCUCUCCAUGGCCGCGGCGAUCCGCGGCUACCACAUGGUGAUUACGAUGCCGAAGAAGAUGUCGCACGAGAAGGAGACGACACUGCAGUCCCUUGGCGCCGAGGUGAUCCGCACGGAGACGUCUCUUCCGCACGACCACCCGGACAGCCUCAUCGGGGUCGCUCGCCGCCUGCGCGAUGAGAAGGGCUACGUGCUGCUGGACCAGUACACGAACCCCAGCAACCCGGGUGCGCAUUACGAGUUCACUGGUCAGGAGAUCUACGACCAGUGCGGCGGCAAGGUCGACAUGGUAGUCAUCUGCGCCGGAACCGGAGGCACGAUCACCGGAGUGGCCAAGAAGCUGAAGGAGCUCAUCCCCGAAGUCAUCGUUGUCGGUGUAGACCCGGUCGGCAGCAUCAUCGCCGACCCCGAACACCCCGGCGAGCCUGUCAUGUACCACGUAGAGGGAAUCGGCUAUGACUUUGUGCCAGACGUGUGCGAGCGUAAGUACGUCGAUCGCUGGGUCAAGACACGCGAUCAGGAGAGUUUCGACCUCGCCCUCGAGCUGCACCGCGAGGAGGGUCUGCUGGUCGGCGGUAGCAGCGGCUCCGCGAUGGCCGGCGUGGUGGAGGCAGCCAAGGACCUUCGCUCGGAUCAGCGCUGCGUCGUGCUCAUGGCGGACGGCAUCCGCAACUACAUGGGGAAGUUCGCCGAUGUCAACUGGAUGAUCGAGCACGGCUUCCGGCAGGGUGAGGUGACCCGCCCCACCUACGACACGCUGAAGAAGGAGCUGGAGGAGGUCAAGGCGAAGCUAGCAAAGUACGAAAGCGGCGCUCAGUAGAGAGGCGGCGCGGCAGCAAGAGAGAGUGAGUGAGUGCGAAGGAAUGAGGAGGAGGCAGAAUGGAUGGGGGCCUGGGCUAAUCGAGGGGACCACCGCGUGUCUGCGUGCGAGGUACCCCCUCCCUCUCCACACAUCAAAAGAAGAGAAUGCUGUCAUGUUGCAGCAGCUCUCCAGAUUAAACCCUCCCUCUCUCCUUCUCUCUCCCGUGCCUCUACGCCAUGCUCUGCCCGACGUUGCUCUUCUACCCCCACCCCGCAUCAUACAUCCUUCUCUGUUUUUCCUUAACGUUUCCGCGACAGCUCCCUCCUUCGUUCGUCUAAUCCGCAGCAGCACCUCCACCGUUGCGAGCCACUGCUGUGUCUCGUGUGGACUUACACAUGUCACUGCGUCUUCAUCCGUCCCCGUU